This 731-nucleotide long non-coding RNA is filed under the name Salmo salar (Atlantic salmon). RNAcentral's name for it is "lncRNA (ENSSSAG00000092680.1)". Lineage: Eukaryota; Metazoa; Chordata; Actinopteri; Salmoniformes; Salmonidae. The record is from RNAcentral.
GGGCUGAGGAGGCUGUUAUGGUUACAGUCAGACAGGGGACAGGUUAGGUUAGGGGGCUGAGGAGGCUGUUAUGGUUACAGUCAGACAGGGGACAGGUUAGGUUAGGGGGCUGAGGAGGCUGUUAUGGUUACAGUCAGACAGGGGACAGGUUAGGUUAGGGGGCUGAGGAGGCUGUUAUGGUUACAGUCAGACAGGGGACAGGUUAGGUUAGGGGGCUCUUGGUUCUUAGUGUGUUUGUCUGGGCAUGUUGAGCAGUGGUUUAGUUGUGCAGUGGUUCUGUGGGUUCUAGAAUAGUUCAACUAGAAGUGAAUUUUGGGUCAUUCCAGAUGUGACAAAGUCCAGAUGAAAUCUAGAGGGGUGAAAUCUAGAGUGGUGAAAUCUAGAGUGGUGAAAUCUAGAGGGGUGAAAUCUAGAGGGGGUAUAGGACAUGUUGAUUGUAUAGAGGAGGAUUGUAGUUCAUGUUUUAUUUUGAUAGUUCUAUUGACCAUUUUAUCUCAUCAUCUCAUCAAACUGAACUACAGAACAUAAUAAUAUAUAUUUUAUCUCAUCAAACUGAACUACAGAACAUAAUAAUCUAUAUUCUAUCUCACCAAACUGAACUACAGAACAUAAUAAUCUAUAUUUUAUCUCACCAAACUGAACUACAGAACAUAAUAAUCUAUAUUUUAUCUCAUCAAACUGAACUACAGAACAUAAUAAUCUAUAUUUUAUCUCACCAAACUGAACUACAG